GCCUUACCUCUUAGGGUUUCCUCUGGGGUAAGUGAUUGCUUCUACACUGUGAAAAUUUGGCUGAGAGACUCAGACUGUCAUGGGUAGACCUAUCUGGGGUUUGAUCGAUGCCACUCCUGGUUUCAGGAGCACCCUUCAUAAUAAACCUAGAAAUUCAGUAUUAUAAAGUUUAAUAAAAAACAACUUUUAACAAUGGAUCUCUUGGUUCUCGCAUCGAUGAAGAACGUAGCAAAGUGCGAUAACUAGUGUGAAUUGCAUAUUCAGUGAAUCAUCGAGUCUUUGAACGCAGCUUGCACUCUAUGGUUUUUCUAUAGAGUACGCCUGCUUCAGUAUCAUCACAAACCCACACAUAACAUUUGUUUAUGUGGUAAUGGGUCGCAUCGCUGUUUUAUUACAGUGAGCACCUAAAAUGUGUGUGAUUUUCUGUCUGGCUUGCUAGGCAGGAAUAUUACGCUGGUCUCAGGAUCUUUUUCUUUGGUUCGCCCAGGAAGUAAAGUACAAGAGUAUAAUCCAGCAACUUUCAAACUAUGAUCUGAAGUCAGGUGGGAUUACCCGCUGAACUUAAGCAUAUCAAUAAGCGGAGGAA
This 586-nucleotide unclassified non-coding RNA is filed under the name uncultured eukaryote. Its description in RNAcentral is "partial contains fungal ITS1, 5.8S rRNA and ITS2". The stretch from base 182 to 335 matches the Rfam family "5.8S ribosomal RNA". The record is from RNAcentral.